This 422-nucleotide ribosomal RNA is filed under the name Galbitalea soli. RNAcentral describes it as "bacterial SSU rRNA". It matches the Rfam family "Bacterial small subunit ribosomal RNA", at positions 1005 to 1429 of the family's 1533-position model. Lineage: Bacteria; Bacillati; Actinomycetota; Actinomycetes; Micrococcales; Microbacteriaceae. The record is from RNAcentral.
AAUGUUCUCCCCGCAAGGUCGGUAUACAGGUGGUGCAUGGUUGUCGUCAGCUCGUGUCGUGAGAUGUUGGGUUAAGUCCCGCAACGAGCGCAACCCUCGUCCUAUGUUGCCAGCACGUAAUGGUGGGAACUCAUGGGAGACUGCCGGGGUCAACUCGGAGGAAGGUGGGGAUGACGUCAAAUCAUCAUGCCCCUUAUGUCUUGGGCUUCACGCAUGCUACAAUGGCCGAUACAAAGGGCAGCGAUACCGUGAGGUGGAGCGAAUCCCAAAAAGUCGGUCUCAGUUCGGAUUGAGGUCUGCAACUCGACCUCAUGAAGUUGGAGUCGCUAGUAAUCGUAGAUCAGCAACGCUACGGUGAAUACGUUCCCGGGCCUUGUACACACCGCCCGUCAAGUCAUGAAAGUCGGUAACACCCGAAGCCA